AUGGUUCAUGCGGCAGCUAUAAUGCAGUCGAACGGUCGGUAGCAAUACCGAUAGUGGCGCACGGGUGCGUAACGCGUAACCAACCUACCCUUGACUGGGGGAUAGCCCGCCGAAAGGCGGAUUAAUACCGCAUAAAACUGCAGCACGGCAUCGUGUAACAGUUAAAGAUUUAUUGGUCAAGGAUGGGGUUGCGUGCCAUUAGCUAGUUGGGGGGGUAACGGCCCACCAAGGCGACGAUGGCUAGGGGAGCUGAGAGGCUGGUCCCCCACACGGGCACUGAGAUACGGGCCCGACUCCUACGGGAGGCAGCAGUAGGGAAUAUUGGGCAAUGGCCGAGAGGCUGACCCAGCCAUGCCGCGUGCAGGAUGAAGGCUUUCUGAGUCGUAAACUGCUUUUACCAGGGAAGAAAAAAGGGGAUGCGUCCCCUACUGACGGUACCUGGUGAAUAAGCACCGGCUAACUCCGUGCCAGCAGCCGCGUAAUACGGAGGGUGCAAGCGUUGUCCGGAUUUAUUGGGUUUAAAGGGUGCGUAGGCGGCCGAUUAAGUCUGGGGUGAAAGCCCGUUGCUCAACAACGGAACUGCCCCGGAAACUGGUUGGCUUGAGUACAGACGAGGGUGGCGGAAUGGACGGUGUAGCGGUGAAAUGCAUAGAUACCGUCCAGAACCCCGAUUGCGAAGGCAGCUGCCUAGACUGUAACUGACGCUGAGGCACGAAAGCGUGGGGAGCGAACAGGAUUAGAUACCCUGGUAGUCCACGCCGUAAACGAUGGAUACUCGCUGCUGGCGAUACAAUGUCAGUGGCUUAGCGAAAGCGUUAGGUAUCCAACCUGGGGAGUACGCUCGCAAGAGUGAAACUCAAAAGAAUUG
Molecule: ribosomal RNA, 868 nt
Filed under: uncultured bacterium
Lineage: Bacteria
Description: bacterial SSU rRNA
Rfam family: Bacterial small subunit ribosomal RNA
Source: RNAcentral